RNAcentral lists this ribosomal RNA (468 nucleotides) under uncultured bacterium. RNAcentral's name for it is "partial 16S ribosomal RNA". It matches the Rfam family "Bacterial small subunit ribosomal RNA", at positions 28 to 507 of the family's 1533-position model. The record is from RNAcentral.
GACGAACGCUGGCGGCGUGCUUAACACAUGCAAGUCGAACGGAAAGGCCCUGCUUUUGUGGGGUGCUCGAGUGGCGAACGGGUGAGUAACACGUGAGUAACCUGCCCUUGACUUUGGGAUAACUUCAGGAAACUGGGGCUAAUACCGGAUAGGAGCUCCUGCUGCGUGGUGGGGGUUGGAAAGUUUCGGCGGUUGGGGAUGGACUCGCGGCUUAUCAGCUUGUUGGUGGGGUAGUGGCUUACCAAGGCUUUGACGGGUAGCCGGCCUGAGAGGGUGACCGGCCACAUUGGGACCGAGAUACGGCCCAGACUCCUACGGGAGGCAGCAGUGGGGAAUAUUGCACAAUGGGCGGAAGCCUGAUGCAGCAACGCCGCGUGCGGGAUGACGGCCUUCGGGUUGUAAACCGCUUUCGCCUGUGACGAAGCGUGAGUGACGGUAAUGGGUAAAGAAGCACCGGCUAACUACGUG